UACCCGGUGUUUUUAAACACCACAAUGACAUAUAUAACGUGUGCAU
Non-coding RNA from Gonium pectorale, 46 nucleotides. The record is from Rfam. Lineage: Eukaryota; Viridiplantae; Chlorophyta; Chlorophyceae; Chlamydomonadales; Volvocaceae.